CCUACGGGCGGCAGCAGUGAGGAAUAUUGGUCAAUGGACGAGAGUCUGAACCAGCCAAGUAGCGUGAAGGAUGAAUGCCCUAUGGGUUGUAAACUUCUUUUAUAAAGGAAUAAAACGAGGCACGUGUGCCUGUUUGCAUGUACUUUAUGAAUAAGGAUCGGCUAACUCCGUGCCAGCAGCCGCGGUAAUACGGAGGAUCCGAGCGUUAUCCGGAUUUAUUGGGUUUAAAGGGAGCGUAGAUGGGUUGUUAAGUCAGUUGUGAAAGUUUGCGGCUCAACCGUAAAAUUGCAAUUGAUACUGGCAGUCUUGAGUACAGUUGAGGUAGGCGGAAUUCGUGGUGUAGCGGUGAAAUGCUUAGAUAUCACGAAGAACCCCGAUUGCGAAGGCAGCUUACUAAACUGUGACUGACAUUGAUGCUCGAAAGUGUGGGUAUCAAACAGGAUUAGAUACCCUAGUAGUC
RNAcentral lists this ribosomal RNA (460 nucleotides) under uncultured bacterium. RNAcentral's name for it is "partial 16S ribosomal RNA". It matches the Rfam family "Bacterial small subunit ribosomal RNA", at positions 338 to 795 of the family's 1533-position model. The record is from RNAcentral.